UUUCUCCCUCUUAACCUUUUUUUCAGCCCCCAGCCGAACAGAUGUUGCUCGAGUUUUUUUUUUUAUCUCUCUUUCCCGAGAUUCGAUCGUUUCCCGAUUCAUUUUCUUCUUUUCUCGACUCGCGGAUUGCGAGCGUUCGAUCGCGACACGUCACACGGAAACGAUCGUUUGCACGGCUUCCGUCUAUCUACGAAGUAUGGUUCUGCUUGAUUUUUUUUUCUUCUUCUUUUUUCACUUCUUGAAGCUCUUCGAAAGCUUGGAGAACCGGGAACGUGGAUAGCUAAACGCUCGUUUCGUUGGGAUUCGUAUUUUAAUAUCACGUGAGGCGAUUGAGAGCGGUGAAGAAUCGGAUGUGUGUAGGAUAGGAUGUAGGUCGAUCUUGGAUAGCGUUAGAGGGAAGAGGGAGAGAGAUAGAGGUAGAGAGAGAGAGUCUAAUGGUUGCGUUGAGAACGCGCGAGUUUACUAAACUAUAUUUUUAUUUCCUUCCCGAGGAAAUAUAUAAUUCGUUCUCGCACAAUUGUGUGAGAAAUAUAAAAGUAAAACAAACUUAGAAGCGGUUUCGUGGUCAGAUAUAAAAUGUCCUUCAUCGAUCAUUUCUCUAAACGUUUGUCUCUCGUUUUAUAUAUAUAUAUAUACCAAGUGACACGUGUACGUAUAUAUACCAAUUCGUUGCGACGUAUUAUUUUUCGCGGGUUAUUUCGACCGAAGAGUGUUAAUUAAACGCUACGUUUCAAAGGGCUUAUUUUUGAUACUUCAAUCUCCACUGAUUUUCGAAUUCCCUCUCUUUAACGUCUAUCGAAAUAUUGUUGUAGCGCGUCGUGCUCAAGCGCAUCAGAGUGCGCGACGAGUAGUACACAGUAUAGUACAGGCUUCACCUUUGACAUUUCGUCGAUUAAGUCGGUCUGAAGCACCGCCGAUUUCCGUAUCGAGACGGUUCAAAACAACCGAGACAAUGCGAUUCCCGAUAUCUAGCGAGAAACAACUGCUCCCCCCCUACGUAUACCCGGCGCCAGUUUAACAUUGAACGUUUCGAAACCUUGAAUGUUUAAAAACUGAUAAUGCGAAUAAUAACGCAUUGUCUCCGCUCCUUGUUGAAAUUUCACCUAGACGUUCUUUCAAAAUUCUUCGAAUCUUUUUCCACGAAACAUUAAAAGCCUCUCUAAUCGAACGAGAGAAUUUAUUUCGAUUAAAUUUUUAUUUAAAUUAUAUAUAUAUAUAUAUAUUAUAUAUAUAUAUAUUGGUAAAAUUUAAUUGUUCGAAAUUAAUACAAUUAAUAAUAAGUUAAAUGUUAUUCGAGUUUUAUUUCAAUGAUCUUUUUUUUCAAGAAUAUGUUUUUAAUUAAAUUCCAGUUUUUUUUAUCUUUUCGUCCGAUUUCUUCUACGAUGAUUUUUUUUUUCGAGUCUAUUUUCGAUCUCUCGGCCGGUACAUUUCCAUUUUCGUACGGUUGGAUCCGUAAAGGUGUGGCCAAUCGAGGAAAGCAAUUUGGCUCUUUGCGGUCGCGCGCGACGGAAAUUGAAUUUUAUGCAGAGAGGCGAUAUUAAUUGACAGGAUCGGUCAGAUCGGCGUGAAUCCAAUCGAGCUCAAAAAUUUCGCCACUUUUCCGUGUAAUAUUGUAAAUAUGCCAGGUGUUCCACUUUAAUUAAUAGAUUUACGAUGAUGAUAUUUAUAUUGAUAAACAGGGGAAAGAAUUACACAGUUUACGAUUAAAUAAUAAACAAAAUUUACAACGUGUAUUUUUCCUAAUUUUUUUCCCACUAUUAUUCUGUUUUUAGACGUGACAGUAGUUUUGCGCCUCGAGCUGCCUCGAGCCGACCAAAUGCUCUUUUUAUGUAAUGACAUAUCAUGUUUCAAAGUAAGAACGUGCUUUCGAAAGUGUACACUUUUCCAACGGUUUUGCCAUUUUUCGAAUUAUUCUUUCAGAAAGUCUCUCUUGUUUCAACGAUUAGUAUCGCGCGAUUAUUUUUUUUUUGAUGUUUUUUUUUUUUUUUUUCACUGUCAUAUAUCUCGUAUCGACAAUCGGUAAUAAAAGAUCGAAUUAUCUGGACGUUUAAUUCUAAACCGAAGGAUAAAUUGAAAUAGUUUUACAACUUUGUUCAUAUCGACGAUACAAGUUUGUAAUAAAAUGAUAUUACGAAAGUACAUAUCAUAGAUACCAGCUAUCGUAGAAUUGAUUAGAAAGAGUUAUUAUCUCGAAGAGUUAAUUGCUAGUUAAUUGCUCUUUAUAGAAUUGGUAUAUCGAAGGUUUCAUCGAUACGUCGUAAAAUAUGAGAUCGUGUAAACAUUCGUUAUAUUUAUAAAAUGAUAUAUAUAUAUAUAUAUAUAAAAAAGAAUUUUAUUCCUAAUACGAAACGAUAAGUUCGAUUCGUUCUAGCGAACUGGAAAUAUUAAAUUCAAAUUGUAUCAAGGUUAUAUAAAUGUUAAAUAUGUAUCCUCCGCAUAUUUGAGCAUUGAAAUUUUAUGGAAAAAGAUUCAUGGAAGGCAGAAUUGCUAACCUUUUCCAUUAUUCAAAUAUAUUGAAACACAAGUGGAAAGAAUUUCGAAAAAUCAAAAUUCGUUUUCGUUUCGACAGAUAGGAUUUUUCAAAAGGUAAAAUUCGAAACGAUUUUUAAUAAUAUCGAGAUAAAUUAAUUUCUUCGGGGAUAAAAAUUAAGGAUAUCAAAGAUUCGAAAAUUUUUAAUUUUUUUAAUUUUUCGAAAAAGUUUUCUAUUCGUUAUUAUGGAGCGAUUUUCAAUAUAUUUCACUUUUCUAUGGAUAAUUUGUGUCAUUUCAAUUAGGAUAAUCACACUGGAUAGUCGAUUUCUUAAUUAUAUUCAAAAUUUCGAAAUUUUUAUUUCUUGAGCUUCGAAUUCAUUGCAGCUUUCCUUCUCCGAUGGAUAAAUCAUUUUUCUUCGAUUAAGAAUAUUCGAUUUCUUAGAAUCUUAAAGACACAAUUUUAAAAUUUUGAAGAUUUCGAUUUCAAAAUUUUUUUACAAAAUUUCAAAAUUUUGAUUUCUCGAACUCAUUGCACCAUUUCCCCUUUUUCAUCGUUUUUCUUCGAUUAAAAAUAUUCGAUUUCUCGGAAUAUUAAAAAAUUAAGGACACUAGAUAUUCGAAACUUCGAAAUUUUGAAAAUUUCGAUUUCUCGAUUCACAUCAGCUUUUUUUCGAUCGAGGACAGUCGAUUUCCCAGAAAAAAUAAAAAUAAAAAUAGAACGUUAAAACAACUUUAAAAAAAUUUGAAAAUUUCCAAUAUAUUUCCCUUUUCCAUAGAUAAUUCCUCGAUCGAUAUAUAAAACACGACAUCGAGUGCAACAAGGUCACCGUUGUGUAUGUGUGUGUGCAAAGCCCUCGUUUAUAAUUUAUCGGCGGUAGCGCGCCAACUUUUGAAUUGCUUGAAACUCGCCCUCGGAGACUCGCCGCCAGAUAAUCGCGAUACGUUGCGACAUUUGUAUUUUACACGCGAGUCUUCUACAAUUCGAUCCGGAAUUUCACAUGGAUAUCGAACGAUAAUAAAAACUUCAAUUUCUCUUAUCGACUCGGUCGAGAACAGAGGGAAACUUUCACAAUCUCUCGACAUUUAUCUCCGACUUUCAGCCAACGUUAUAUCGUAACAUACAUCAGCAUUACGAAUAUACCGCUUGUCCUAUUCUUCGCCACCUUUCCACGCCUUUCCCCCAUCCGCGAUUCGCGUGAAAAGGCUCGUUAUGUUCUGUACGGAUAAAUGUUUUCGAACGUAUGUAACUUUUUCCAUAGGGGACUAAAAAUUUGCUUGACACGCGAUAAAGAGAUAUAAACGACAUUAUCUUUCUUGCAAUUAAACCAUUAUUAACCAUCUGCUUGUUAAAUGUAUCGUUUAUCCGAUUUGUAAAUUAUAUCUUUUGUAUUUAUUUUACUUCGUAACUAAUUUUCGUGAGUAAUUCGCGAAUAUAUAUUUUGAAACACGUAUAUCUAUAACGUGUAGACGAAAAAUUGGUAAGAUAUUCAAUUAUUCGUUUCUAUUUGGUACAACUCACUAUUAAAUUGCGCAAUAAGAUACCGCUUCUCGGGAAGCGUUGAAAAUACAAUUAACCUAAGUACGACACAAGAUAUCGUUCUUCACUGUGUUUAUUUUAACAGGUAGACUAAACUGGAUAUCGAUCGCUGUGAGACAUGAUCUAGCGUCACAGUGAUCAUCAAACAAUUAAUAUAAUUAAUAUAAUAUUAAGUCGUAUAAUAAUAAUAAUAUCCGAGACACGAUGGUGAGAAAGAGCGAGUCGAAUUCAUCGAGUAAGUUAAAAACUUAUCUUAAUCUCUCGAGGAAAAAACUUCUCGAAAAUUAAUAUUUCUCGGUUUUAAUAUAUCUCGCCAGCCGGUCUGUUACGGUUACUCUGGUAAAAAAGACGCAUCGAUCUAGGGACGAUGAGGACAGCCCGAUAUAAUUACUCCGCGACGACCUCGCUCUCUCUCGUUGCGCUCGUCUCGCUGGCAUCGUUAAGGUCUGCUGCAUUUAACAAGAGCGGCCAUUCGAUUCUCUAUUUUGUUAAACGAGCAUUCCGAUAAAUACGUGUGCGGAGCGUAGAGACGUCUAUGUCCCGUUUCGCGAUUAAUAAAUUUCUAUAGUUUUCUAUAGACUCGUGCUAAUCCUUUUAUCCUUGAUAAAACAUUUAUUUGUCUAGGCAUCAUUUUUCGUGCUAAUUUUUUUUUGUGUCAUAUCUCUUGAUAAAAUAUUUAUUUAUUAUUGUUCGAGGAAAUAUUUUAUCAACGAUUAUAAUUUCUUUAAAUUUUCAAUGAUAAAAUAUUUAUUUAUCAUUGUUCCAGGCAUAAUUUUUAUGAUUCGUGAUAAAACAUUUAUUUAUCAUUAUAUUUAACAAGACUCGUGAUUAUCAGUUGAUUUUCAAUUUGUCGCAAUUUUUCACGUUGAUUUGAAAGACGAGUAAAGAGAGAAUGAAAGACACCUUUAAUAAAGAUCGAUAAUUAUAAGGUUACGCUUCACGAGACAGUUCAGUGGGAUGACAAACUGGCAUCGUGAGAGCGAGCCAACUCGGAUCGUUCGAUUCUUGACGGUCUCCUUGACGAUGAGACAAGCGAGGAGGAUUUAUUGUCCUUUGAAACCGCCACGUUAUGUGUCUCACACGCCACGACUUUCAAAUACCUUUUUGUUAUCUCUUUCGUUUGUUGCACGCGACAGAAAUACAUGGGAGGGAUAUAAAUUUAAUUUUAUCCUGCGAUUAAAUAUAAUCUCGGCCGAUAUUUAUGGUAAAUAUCACGCGAUGGUGUGUUGUGUAACGAUAGAGCAUCGUUUUAUUAUCCUUUCUUUGCGAUUAAUAUUAGAUAUCUGUUGCUCGAAGAACAUAUUGGAGGAUAAUAUCUUUCAAACUGUGUUAUCGACUGAAAUUUCUCCGACGGUAAAUAAUUCAAUAUCAAUAGUCGAAAAUUAAUUCUUAAAAGAAAGAAAGAAAGAAAGAAAGAAAAAGAAAAAGCAAUAUAUUCUAGAUACAUGCAUACAUACAAAACGAUACAUUACUCGUCGCAGACGACAACGAAAUUGACGAAGGUGACUGAAGGAAGAAGCACUUUCAUUUCGAAUUCAUCUGCCGAAGUGGAUUCUCGUUCACGACUCUACUACUCAUUUACUUUCACCUGUCAUGAAUUUUCGCUCUUCCUCUCGAAAUCCGUCGCACUUUUCAUCGCUCGCUCGCUUGCUCGAAUCGACCGCUAACCUUUAACGUCCAUCAUCCACCGCCACGUCGAGUAUUUGUUCUAAUUACCGAACUCGAACUUGGUAUUUCAAUUUGCUUGUUCCAUCGCGCCCAUUCUCUUUGAAUCUCGCAUAAUUAGACCGGUCUAUUCUCUUUCUCUCUCUCGUCCCUUUUGUUACUUUUCACUUGGAACAGAGAGAGAGAGAGAGAGAGAGAGAGCGCCUCGAUCCCUCUUCUCGCUUUGCAUUCGAAUACAACGUUCUUUGAUGCGUGUGUAAUCGCGAUUUUAUACCCGUUCUCCCUUCUUUUUUUCUCUCGUUUGUAUUUUGUCACGAGAAAAGAAGAGAGGGGAAAAAAUAGAGAGAGAGAGAAGAGAGAGACAGGAACAUUCGAUGAAAAAUUGAUCGCGCAUUGUGUCUGUCAGAUUUUCGAAAGCAGCGGAGAAAUGUUGUUCAAAGAUAAUUGAAUCGAAGGGAAGAGAAGCGUUUUUAGUUCAUCACGCAAUAAUCGAUCGAUCGAUAAUGGCCGGUGAACGCUAUAAACAGAGCGAGAAGAAAUUAUCAUUCUAGCAUAAGCUUUACACUAGCGUGGAUCCAUUGAGUCACUUCGGUGGUCCGUGUGUAUUUUAAGCGAUGCUUAUAAUUACGUCGAGCGAACUCGCUUUUUCGUUUCAGUCCUUUUGAAGGUACCUCGAAAAUGUUUCCUUGCGAGAUAAACAAUUUCAGUUGGAUAGAAUCUUUAAUCUUUGACGUUUAGUAAGAAGUUUAUAUCUGUUUGAAGUGUCGUGUACAUCGCACAAACCCAUGAAACGAUCCAAUGCACAGUUAGUCGCAUAAUGCCCGAACUGUUCGUUUACACUGCACGCGACACACUUGGAAAUUCUCAUGAAUAGACAAUAGAAGAAAUUGUUCUUUCUCGUACAUACGUUUAAUAAUGUGCAACAUUGACGCGCAAAAGUAGCUAACUAGUUGAAAGAAAAAAACUUUUCCGACUUCCGUUUCGCUCAUUUCCGUUUAUCCGCAACGAAGACGGAUUCAGAUUCGAGGGAGCAUUAAUUUCUGUUCCAUAUUUCUUCUCUUUCCUUCCUGGGAAAGCCGCCUCGAUGGCGCCCUCUAGACUUUGGCUCGUCGCCAAACCUCUUUUCUUUCUCUUUUUCGACCUCCUUGCCAUUACCCCUUGCUGCUCGUUUGUUACCUUCCUUUUUCUUUUUGUUCUCCUCCGUUUCCUGCUUACCUUCGUACCGCAUCGAUACUAUUACGUAAGCUCUCUUGAAUCGAAAAAGGAACACUGAAAUAGGUACGUAUAGAGUGAUACUUUUGUCAGUGAACUCUAGAGGCAGUACCAUCGCCUAUAUAUCGCAACAUGGCGAUAAUUUUGUGUUUAACGUACAGUUCAUCUAUCGAUAAAGAAAUUGAAAUUGUUGUUGUUCUCUCGGUGAGUGAGUUGACGAAGAGAUCGAAGUCGCAAUUUUAUUAUUGAAUAAUUAUUGUUGAUCAUUGUAGCGAAGACGAUUGUAUUUUGUAACGUUCGAAGAGUGAUUAUAAACUGUAUACAAAUAGUAUUGAAAUCGAGACGAGGAAACGGAUAGUGGAAUCUUGAGAAAAAGAAAAGCUAGGAAUUCGAUCUGCAAGGCUUCGGGUCAAUAACCUUAUACGUUUUCUUGUUGGCUCGAACUGCAGGGUUGGAGGGAGUGAAAUAGGAGAAAACAGCUGAUGUCACUUAGGGAAGCGAUCUCGUUUGAUCCAUGAAAGAAGAAUGGGACUUUUUGUAGUGAUUUAGAUUCAUUUAAUAUAUAAAAUCAGGUUUGGUUAUAUUUUAUUUUCUACAAUUCUAAUUUUAAUUAAUAUUAUUUAAAUCAGAUAAGCAUUUCAAAAAAAUAUUAAAGCGAGAAAAAUAUUAAAUAAUAAUUCGCUUCACAGUUGACAACGUAUUUCGAGCAAUUUUAUUUUAGGACAUUCGAAAAAUUGACAUUUAUCGCGGCAAUCUGUCGGUUUUAUCUUCGAAUUCAAAGGGCUAAACGGUCGAUUUACAACCAGACAGACGUUGCAUUCGAAAGUAGAGAAUAUUUUUGCCGGUGGAUCUCGGUUGGUGGGGCAGUGGUUGGCACAGAGAAUUCGAAAUCGACAAUUUCAAGUGUCGUGUCCUAGUGCUGGCAUCCACUGGUUUAACAAUACUUCCCUCUAUCUCCCUUUCUUUCUCUCUCUCUUUUCCUCGUCUCUGAUCUCUCUGUUCUUCAGGCAUGCCGUAUUGAUCGAACGAACACAAGCACUCGGGGGAAGUCGGUGUUGGACUUUCAUAUACUAUACACACAUAUGUGUUCUGGUUCCGGUACCCGAAUUAUGUAGCCACACACUCGUGUAGAGACAUCUAAAGUUUUAGAUAAACAUAAAUUGGAUUUUUCUUUUGUAAUAAUUUUUUUUUCUCGAAUAAUUUUUAAGAAAUUUUAAUUUUUAUUUUAAUUAUAAAUAUAUUAUUAUUUUCUUAAAUUGCUUAUAAUUUUUAAAAAGUGCGAGUGUAAAUCUUUACUAUACGUUUCGAAAGUCAAAUGUUACAUAUUUUAAUAUAUCGAUGAAUAUGCGAUUUGCGAUUGACGUGAUUUGUGGAUAAUGAUGAAAAUAGAAGGAAAAUAUAUCGUAAUUAAAUUUAAUAUAUUAUAAGUCAGAUACAUAUAUGUAUUAUUACAUUAAUUUUAAUUUCAGUUUCUAUGUCAAACGUAUAUAUGAAUAUUGAUGUAGAUAUCAAUUUUUUAUUUUUCAUUUCGUACGAGAAUCGUCGAAGAUAUUAAUUAAUGUACAGAAACAAAAUCGAUUGAAUACAAAGACUUUAGAAAUUCUAGCGUGGCAGAGGUCGAUUGUGCAGUUGUAUCUCUUUUGAUUGUAUUGAAUUGCUUAUUUCGAUUUCUGAAAAGUGAUAAUCAUAAUAUACAGAAAAUAUAUUUUUUACGUAAAGAUUUAAAAAGUUUAGAGAAAACAUAAGUGUUUUACAAAUAAUUUUUGUAGGAAGUUUUUUUCAAUCUUUUCGUCUUAUCUAUUUUCGUUGCGUCGUAUAAAAAGAAUAAUUAAGAUUUCUUUUAUCGUCAAAUUAAUUCUCAAUAAUUACGAAUAAUAACGUAAUUAAAUAUAUCGACUGAGAGAAUUUUUUUCCUCGAUCAGCGAUCACUUGAAAUAUCAGAACGCAGAAAUGUCACUUAUUUGCGUCACUGAACUAGUUUUAUGUAGAAUUAAAAAAAAAAAAAAAAAAGAGAAUCGUAUCUCGUUCGCUUAAUACCGUUUCAUGUCCCAUAUUCGGAACAUUAUUGUCUUUAUGACAAACGAACGUCACAAAGAUACGAUAGAGGCAGCAACGAUUUAAUAUUCUACAGUUAAAUCAUUUCAUCUACGUGACAUAUCAUUUUAAGUAUCUACUUAUUCUUUUCGAUGUAUAUGUACAUCCUCUUCAAUAUAUUACGAUGUACAUUUGACAUAUUUUUAAUUAUUAAAUUUUGAAAUUUCAUAUUCAUUAUUUCAAAUUCAAUAUCAAAUUCAUCAUUAUUAUAGAAAAAAAAAAAAUAUUUGUGUAUUAUAUAAAAUUCGGUUAAUUAAAAUUAUCCACAUACUCUGUUCCAUAUAUCAAUAAACAAGAAAAUAUCGCGUGAUUGUAACGCUCACUUUUCGCACGAUCGUUUCACGAUAAUCAAAUAUAAACGAAUUAACACAUUAAAUUCUUCUAAAUACUUCUCACGAAAUCUCAAGAUUAUGAACUCUCACUUUUGAAAUAAAGUCGCGGCGAUUAUCGAACCGAAGCGUGACUAUUACUUAGGCUUAUUUGAAUGACGCGCGCUUGACCGAUAAUGUCGUCACGGAAAUAUUCGCGUUAUGCGCGCGCCAUUAACCUCCGGCCGCUUGCUUGAUUUUCAUGGUAAGCAAAGUGUCGCUUGUUUCGUGCUCGACCACGAGUGGCACCGCUUGUUAAAAACGCUUUUUCGCCCGUGGUAUACCGUCGGGCGACUGACACCGAUUUCUUUGAGCGAAAAAAAAAGAGAUCGCCGGUGUUUUAGACAGAAUUUUAAAUUUACGACGAGAUAACGAUCGAUCAACGGAACGAGGUGAAGAUAGAGGGUUCGUAAAGUUUUUUCUUGCAUACAUUUUCCCAUGCUUUGCAUAACGAGAUUGUAUUUUUUGGUUAAAUUAGGUUAGGUAAGAUCUUUUUGGUUAAGUAAGUGCGAUUAAAUUAUGGAUAAUUUAGAGACGUGUUUUUUUCGAUCUUUUUGAACGAGAAGAAUGAUAUUGUAGGCAAAUUUUGUGGUAAAAUAAUGAUCUAUUAAUAAAACGAAGUGAAAAUAUAAUUCGUAGAGUUGUUUCGCCGUGUAUCAGUAUUAAUAAUUAUGAAAUUAAAAAUCUCAUUAUCUUUUUCGGAUUUUAUAUUAAGAUAAUGAUCGAUCAAUGGAAUGAACAUGAAAAUAGAAUUUCGUUUUUUUCUUGCAUAAAUAACAAUAUAAUAACAUUGCAUGAAUUUCUUUUUUAUUGAAAAAUUUCUUGUUUUCUCUGCAAAAAAAAAAUUGUUGUGCAAAUAAUUUCGUAUGUUAAUUCUACAUUCUACUUCUCGUAAAUUACUUAGGUUACUUGUUUUUGUAAAAUAGAGAUCAUUAAACAUGGAAUUGGUCAGGAAUGUCGAAGAGUUUUAUAAAAACAUUUACUUAAUGUUGGAUUUCUACUCGGAAAUUUCAUUUUCUUCUGCCAGCCUUGUUCCAGCCUCUUUAAUUGCGUGUUUCAACUGUUUAUUGGAUCGCAAUACAUUUCUUUGUAUGCGUUCAAUAAUUCAUUUCUAAAGUUUUCCAAAGAUAGAACGUACGAUUAAUGUUUUCGUUCCUUCUGUGCAAUUGCGUUACUGUGACGAUCAUUAUAUUCAAUUAAAUUCAUAAAUCAUAAGUAUAUAAAGGACAAUAUAGCGUGACAAUCGUAUAAUCGAUGCAUCAUCGUACGAGUUGAAGAUUAAAUUGCUAUUUACGAACUUACUAAAAUACCUUUAUUUAUGGAAGAUCGAAUGUUCGCCUCUGGAGAUCUCACUCCUUCUUCCCUCGAGGAAAUGCACAAGGGGAUCAAAGAUGCCCCAGAUGUCUGCACGACUAACGGCUCCAUUAAUUGCCAUGAGCUUCAGAUUUAUGAUACGUGGCCGACUAAAGAGGGUAAAGUGAUACGAAAAUGAUGUAUUUACGAAAUUAGCAAUUUUCAAUGAUUACUAAAAUCUUUUACUAAAAUUUAACAAAUGUUAUAUUAAACGUUAUGAUAAUUAUUUUAUGAUUAAAAAUACUUUCAAAGAAAUAUUCUUUCAAAGAAAUUCGUUUCAACGUUUUAUUAAAAUUCACAAAAUGUAAAAUAUAAAUAUAUAAAGUGUAUUCGAGUUUUAAUUUUAAACCUUAUAUAAAUAAUAAAUAAUUUAAUCUUGUAAAUAAAAAAAGAAAUUAGAAGCUUUAUUUUUCGAUCUUUUUCAAAUCAUGGUACUUUUUCCAUCUUGGACAAAAUAGGACGAUGCAACUUUCGCUCGUUUAGCAUGAAAGUUUGCCGCGAAUCUAUGAAUACGUAUGGUCCUUAGACGGUGUUGGCGGAAACUUGCGGGUCGAAAGCCAGGCCAGCAUUUCCGGCUUGUUUGCGAAACACCCAACUAACGGCCAUUUAUCUCGUCUCGCUUAAAGCCGCCACGAAAUCAUGUGUAACUUUUCCUUCGUGUCUCGCCACCGAUUGAUUCGUAUCCCUGCACCUGCACUCGCGUGUGCGUACACGCGACUGCAUGCACCUGCCACGUGAAAGGGAUCUGGAGAAAAGUUCUUUCACGGUUGUGACUAACGUGCUGUUCGUGAAAGAAAUACAAGUCGAAGUUGGAUGAAUAAAUUGAGAAAAAGAUGGAAAAAUGUAUGGUUUUUGGAAGUUUUCAAAUUUCGAAAGUU
Molecule: long non-coding RNA, 11579 nt
Organism: Apis cerana (Asiatic honeybee)
Lineage: Eukaryota; Metazoa; Arthropoda; Insecta; Hymenoptera; Apidae
Source: RefSeq, a predicted model, not a curated record